Long non-coding RNA from Sitophilus oryzae (rice weevil), 355 nucleotides. RefSeq lists it as uncharacterized. The transcript has 3 exons. The record is from RefSeq and is a predicted model, not a curated record. NCBI's taxonomy places the organism in Eukaryota, Metazoa, Arthropoda, Insecta, Coleoptera, Curculionidae.
AAAAUACUCGCCUUUUUAGGUAGCUCUAAAAUCAGUGAUCAAUGAGAAGGAAGUUCAAUGUGGGGGUUCAUUGAUCCAAGCUAAUAAAGUUUUAACAGCUGCAUAUUGUGUCUAUGGAGCUGAAACAGUAGAGGUAAUUUUGGGUGCACAUAAUUUGACAAUUGUGGAAGAUACUCAAGUACAUCUUGAGUCCUCUAACUUUACAGUUCAUGAAGAAUAUGAUGCCGAAAAUCACUUAAAUGAUAUUGCAGUAGUAUACUUAUCAGAAGAUGUAACUUUAACAGAUGCUAUCCAGACUAUACAAACCCCAUCCCUGGUAGAAAUUCUAGAUACGUAUGCUGACGAAACAGGUCUC